Molecule: ribosomal RNA, 253 nt
Filed under: uncultured bacterium
Lineage: Bacteria
Description: partial 16S ribosomal RNA
Rfam family: Bacterial small subunit ribosomal RNA
Source: RNAcentral
UACAGAGGUCUCAAGCGUUGUUCGGAUUCAUUGGGCGUAAAGGGUGCGUAGGCGGCGCGGUAAGUCGGGCGUGAAAUCUCGGGGCUUAACUCCGAAACUGCAUUCGAUACUGCCGUGCUUGAGGACUGGAGAGGAGGCUGGAAUUUACGGUGUAGCGGUGAAAUGCGUAGAUAUCGUAAGGAAGACCAGUGGCGAAGGCGGGUCUCUGGACAGUUCCUGACGCUGAGGCACGAAGGCCAGGGGAGCAAACGGG